RNAcentral lists this ribosomal RNA (253 nucleotides) under uncultured bacterium. RNAcentral describes it as "partial 16S ribosomal RNA". It matches the Rfam family "Bacterial small subunit ribosomal RNA", at positions 524 to 776 of the family's 1533-position model. The record is from RNAcentral.
UACGUAGGGUGCGAGCGUUAAUCGGAAUUACUGGGCGUAAAGCGUGCGCAGGCGGUAAGUUAAGUCUGAUGUGAAAGCCCCGGGCUCAACCUGGGAAUGGCAUUGGAAACUGGCUUGCUGGAGUGUGGCAGAGGGGGGUGGAAUUCCGCGUGUAGCAGUGAAAUGCGUAGAGAUGCGGAGGAACACCGAUGGCGAAGGCAGCCCCCUGGGCCAAUACUGACGCUCAUGCACGAAAGCGUGGGGAGCAAACAGG